RNAcentral lists this transfer RNA (72 nucleotides) under Legionella hackeliae. RNAcentral's name for it is "tRNA-Gly(ccc)". It matches the Rfam family "tRNA". From Rfam's summary of the family: Transfer RNA (tRNA) molecules are approximately 80 nucleotides in length. Lineage: Bacteria; Pseudomonadati; Pseudomonadota; Gammaproteobacteria; Legionellales; Legionellaceae. RNAcentral also lists the same sequence under 3 other names. The record is from RNAcentral.
GCGGGUGUAGUUCAAUGGUAGAACUUCAGCUUCCCAAGCUGAUAGCGUGGGUUCGAUUCCCAUCACCCGCUC